AUGUCCAACCACUCCGGCUGCUACUCCGCGUCCGACGGCGCCCACGAGCUGACGAUGGUCGCUCGCCAAAUGGUCAGCGACGGUUACACCCAGCUCACGGUGACUGCAUUCGACAUGGCAUCUCCGGCCCCAGCAUCUGGAUACGGCAGCGGCCCGGACCGUGAGCUGGACAAGCUUCUCAAGAGUUGGUUCUUCCAGCUUGACGUGGACUGGAUUCUCGAAAUCUGCAAUCACAGGUCAGUCUUAUGCCCCCACAAGGGCCGCAACUUCGUAAAGAGCUGGAUUCGAGCUGUCAUGGUAAUUGUAGCGAGUAUCAAGGAGCUGCUCGCCAUUGCCCACGAGACGAGCGCGGUCGCACGGUUUGGCAAUGCGAGCAUUUCAGCAAUGCUCGUCUUUGUUGAUGACAUCGUCCAAGUUUACAAGCCGGGGAAUCCACUGGCCGUGCUAGACAUGUACAUCUGCGUCUCCAGUGCGUCACGUGACGUGCUUACGGUGCAUGUGAUCUCUUCGGAAGCUCAAAGCAUAUUCGGUGAGAUAGCCAACUCAUUUGACAGGGAAGGAAGCAUGUUAAUCGAGUCCAUAUUCGGCACGAUAAUGCAGAUGCAUCAAACACUCAUGAAGGACGAUGAAGAAUGGGCUGUCCACAUUCUGCGGGGAGGAGGCGAGGUUCAAAUGAACAUUCGAUUUUUGGUAAGUUACAUAUUAUUGUUGAGGAAAGCCAAGGCUUCGACAGAGAACUGCGCACCGAGCCACAACACCGAAAAGCUCUGUGACCUGAUACAAGACACGACCGAUUAUCUGAAGGAUCUGCUUCUGAAUAAAUCGGAGUUAUGCUCAGAUCCAAGCCUCAGGUACAUGUUCCUGCUCAACAAUUCCUAUUUCAUAGCACAGAUGUUGGAGCCAUCGGCAGCGUUAAACCUUGAGCUGCAGUUUGGGCGCCACCGUGAGCAUAAACUUACACCUGAAUGUGAGAAACAUAUGGAUGGCUAUUUGGAUGCUUCCUGGGGUCAUGUGCUGUCCUACAUACCGAGAUCGAAAUUUCCCGGACUUCUCCAACGCUGGAUGAGGAACAACACCUCUGCACGCACCCCACUGGGUCAAUUCAAGUCAGCGUUUUAUAAAACAUACCGGGCUCAGAAGUUCUGGAAGGUUCCAGAUCCUCAACUCAGAGAUGCGCUGCGGAAAACUAUUGCUGAGAGAGUUGUUUCAGGCUACCGCGUCUACUUGAAGGAGCAUCCGGAGCUAGAGGAAUACGCCUGUCACGGAGACAGUAGUCCCGACGAAUUGGAGGAGAUGUUAGCACAGCUAUUUGAAGGAUGA
RNAcentral lists this ribosomal RNA (1320 nucleotides) under Triticum aestivum (bread wheat). RNAcentral's name for it is "partial small subunit ribosomal RNA". The record is from RNAcentral. Lineage: Eukaryota; Viridiplantae; Streptophyta; Magnoliopsida; Poales; Poaceae.